RNAcentral lists this long non-coding RNA (412 nucleotides) under Androctonus crassicauda. The record is from RNAcentral. Lineage: Eukaryota; Metazoa; Arthropoda; Arachnida; Scorpiones; Buthidae.
UUAUUUUUUAUAUUUUUAUUAUUUUAUUUUCAUUUAUUUAUUUUAAUCUUUAUUUUUGUUCUUUUGUAUUUUAUUUUCUUUGUUUUCAUCCUUGUGUACUGUUUGUAAUUACUUUGUUAUUCUCUUAAUAAUGAUUACUGUUUGCCCGGACCUUCUCGGGUUGGGCCCGGGCCGACUCUGGCUGCGGACCGACGCGGCUGGGACCAGUUGCAAUGCGCUUUGGUUCCCUUCUCUCUCUCUCUCUCUCUCUCUCCUUCCCCACCCUCCCUGUCUAACUAACCACCCUGACCUACAACCUGACCAACUUUCUCUUCAGCUACUAACACCCAGUUUAAACCUCUGAGUAUAACUGGUUUUCCCCCCUUUAUUAUUAUUAUAUAUAUAUAUAUAUGUGUGUGUGUGUGUGUGUGUG